GGGGCUGAACAGGAUUUCGACAGGAGUUGCGUCGCGUGGGUGGCAUGCCAAGUGUCUCUUGUAAAACGACACAAACAAUAACCGUAAACAAUCCUAAUUACGCUCCCAACUACGCUAAAGCAGCGUAGCGAGCCGGAAACUUAGCUGAUCAACUGGUGUUGGCUUGGUAUUUCCGUCAUUUUUGCCAGUUGCCUUUAAAAAGCGCCCGCUUUUAAAGUAAGAAAAGGGCUAUGGUCUUGCUAAGAUUUUUAGAGAGAUUGGAUCGCAAGCACCAGAAUCUCACCAAUUUCUCUAAGCAUGUAGAAGCCCGCGAAAGGAUGUGAUUUUUGGACUGGGGUUCGAUUCCCCACGGCUCCACCA
Molecule: transfer-messenger RNA, 360 nt
Filed under: Helicobacteraceae
Lineage: Bacteria; Pseudomonadati; Campylobacterota; Epsilonproteobacteria; Campylobacterales
Also listed under: 2 other names
Description: Helicobacter_E suis Standard tmRNA
Rfam family: transfer-messenger RNA
About the family: Bacterial tmRNA, also known as 10Sa RNA or SsrA, is named for its dual tRNA and mRNA-like properties.
Source: RNAcentral